AUACGGAGGAUCCGAGCGUUAUCCGGAUUUAUUAGGUUUAAAGGGUGCGCAGGCGGCCAUUUAAGUCAGCGGUUAAAUCGUGGGGCUCAACCCCAUUCUGCCGUUGAUACUGGGUGGCUUGAUUGCGGUCGAGGUUGGCGGAAUUCGUUGUGUAGCGGUGAAAUGCAUAGAUAUGACGAAGAACACCGAUUGCGUAGGCAGCUGACCAGAUCGCAAAUGACGCUCAUGCACGAAAGUGCGGGGAUCGAACAGGAUUAGAUACCCUGGUAGUCCGCACAGUAAACGAUGAAUACUUGUUUUCGGCGAUAUAAUGUCGGAGGCAAAGCGAAAGCGAUAAGUAUUCCACCUGGGGAGUACGCCGGCAACGGUGAAACUCAAAGGAAUUGACGGGG
RNAcentral lists this ribosomal RNA (392 nucleotides) under uncultured bacterium. RNAcentral's name for it is "partial 16S ribosomal RNA". It matches the Rfam family "Bacterial small subunit ribosomal RNA", at positions 523 to 918 of the family's 1533-position model. The record is from RNAcentral.